CGGGCUGGCUGACUGCACAGUACAGGAGGGUGGGCGUGGCACCCAAGAGACAAUACAGAAUAAGUAGCACACAGGAAUGCGCACGCUUGUAAGAAUCUGGUGGCACCAGGAGCUCUUGGAGAAUUAAGAGAACAGGGAGGAAGCGGAUCAGAGGAACAGAGGUGUCCCAAGAAGGGGGGCGAGGCCAGCAUUGAGUCACUCAAGUCAUGGACUAAAAAGUGCCCUGACAUGUGGUAAUUAUGGGAUGGUUGACAAAUUUAUUGAGAGCAAUUUCAGUGCUGUAGUGGGAGGCAACUCCAGAUUGCAGUGGGCCGAGAUGUGGGAGGUGAGGAAGAAACUGCCAGUGUAUAUGAUAGAGAAGAGAGACAGAAGGGGCGAGGGACGACAGAAUGAGAAAGAUCCAAUGUGGCAAGUAAGUAAUCUAAGAAAUUAAUCUGUGUGAAUGUGCUCCAUCAGUGUCCUAGACUUUCAAAAUCCGUAUCCUUUGAAUAAAGGCCAAAAAUAAAAACAAAAACAACCCCCAUGACCUCACAGAUAAUCUGGGAACAGCAAUCUGUACAUAUGUGGUUAUCUAGGUGUUGAGGGGAUAGGGUGUCAGGGUAGGGGCAGAGUUCGGAGAUCACCGUAACACUCUGAAGAGCAAAAGAACAUUUUCCGAAUGUCCCAGUGUCCUAGAGUAAGCCAUCAGCGGUUCUGGCAGUGGGGAGAUGCAGCCCCACAGAACCACGGAAGGAAGUUUAUGACUCCUUGGAACUACAGAGGAGACACGUGCCCCGAAGCUACCUGCGGCUCUAGACCAGGUGGGCACGCCUUUCCUGUAAAGGGUCAGAGAGCAGGAAUCUCAGGCUUGAGGGUUGGCAGUCUCUGCCCUGAGUACUCCGUCAUGGCAGGAAGGCAGCUGCAGGCAAAGCAGAAUGUGCGAGCACAGCUCAGUCCCUGCUUCCUCCUGCCUCCCUCCCAUGUCUCCGGCAGCUCCCGCUCCUUCUCCUUGGUGGACCUUCUUGCAGCUGCUCUUUAAAUACUGGUGUUCCCUGAGGUUGUGAGUCCAACCCCUUUAUGAACUAACAUUCAGAUUUCACAUAUCUAUAUGUCUGGAAACAUUCUUCUUUGGCUUUUUUUCUCCCAACCAUUUAAAUCUGCAAAACCAUUCUUAGCUCUUAAACCAUAUGAAAACAGGCAGUGGGCUGGAUUUUGCUUACAGGACCAUACUUUGCUGAAAGCUCUUCUCGGUGUGGUCACAAUUGGGAUGGAAACCCAAAAUAAAUCCACUGUUUACGAGCUUCAUUCUCCUUUAUUCAUGGCAACAGCAAUCGGUUAGUGAACAGUGCGCCUUGGUGACAGGUUACCUGGGAGAUCUGGGAAAGAACAGAAGUGGGCUGAGCGGGAGACACAGGAACAGGUACAGCAGACACCGGAAAUACUCUGGGUAUGAAGAGGGAGGCAAAGGGGUCAGAGCGCUCCAGAAAGCAGGGUGUGGACAGGACAAAAAUGAGAAAUGUAAUCACCCAUCACCAAGACUACGGCUCGGCCAGGACUUCCCCACAGCCUCCGUCAAAGGUGCCUCAGAAGUAGUCUUUAAUCACUUUGAGGAAAUAAUAGUGGGCCAGACCAGGGCAGCCAGUUUUCGCUGUCCAUUUUGUCAUUAAAUAUAAAUGCCUGGGAGAGGGGCAUGAGAAAAAUGUAUUCUACACAUUGAAGCUCGCCAAAAACGUGAAAUUAGGAAAAAGGGUAGGACAAAGGGGUGCUGAGGAGGGUAUGAAAAUGAUCAAAAUAUACUGUGUGCAUGUAUGAAUUGGUCAAAAUGAAAUAUGUUUCAUUAACAUAGUGUGGUGAAUUAACUAAUAGUCAACUUGUAACGCCCAGCUGAAUUGAAUAGCCUGGUUCUGGGCGUGGAAGAUCGACCUGAGGCUUGUGGCCAAGGGCAUAAAAAGAGAACUGGAGAGGGAGAUCA
RNAcentral lists this long non-coding RNA (1951 nucleotides) under Heterocephalus glaber (naked mole-rat). Its description in RNAcentral is "lncRNA (ENSHGLG00000038456.1)". Lineage: Eukaryota; Metazoa; Chordata; Mammalia; Rodentia; Bathyergidae. The record is from RNAcentral.